Molecule: long non-coding RNA, 837 nt
Organism: Spinacia oleracea (spinach)
Lineage: Eukaryota; Viridiplantae; Streptophyta; Magnoliopsida; Caryophyllales; Amaranthaceae
Exons: 3
Source: RefSeq, a predicted model, not a curated record
GCAAACCCCAAAACCCCUGCUACUUCAAGCUUCACGUAAAAAACCCCAAAACCUCCUCCUUCACGUUCGUAAUUCUCCUCUCCUUGGUGGCUGCUGUACCAGCACCGCCGUCGACCCUUGCUGCACCGCCGCCGCCAACCAGCCGGCGCCCUUCCUUACUCUCUUCCUCUUUCAAUUCGCGUGGAGUUCCCUCCUCCUCUACGUGCUUCUCUCACCACCACCGACAGCAAUCCCAGCAACCACCAAGCUCUCGACUGCCGGCAACCAAUCACCAGACCACCGGUCGCCCUUCGCCGUACCCUCUGUAUCGCCGCCGCCGAAAGGACCAGCCACCGCCCUCCUUCAUCUCUCCACUUGUUGCUUCUCUGUUUCUUGCUCAGCCACGUGCAACCACCACCGCGACCACCUGCAGCCACCUGCUGCGUCGCCUAGCUCCGCGACCGCCCAGCUCUCUCCGCCGCUCAACUCCCUCGCUGCCGCCGCCCCUGCCGCCGGCCAGCUCUCUCUCUCUUCUCUUUUGGAGGAGAAUUCUCUUUAGGCGACUUUUGAAUUCGUUAAAGUGGCCUAUCAGUUUGUUUACACAAGUCUCUAAGGAUCAAUAAGCAUUGUCCAUCUGCAGGUUUGAAGAUGUUGCAUCAUUGGGAUCGGGAAUAGAGAGCUUGUAUUUAGUUUUGAUUUGCUAAGUUGACUUGGGUUUGUUUAAAUGGACUUUAAACUUGUCAUACUAUUUAUAUUUCCUUAUUUUCGUUGGUUGAUUUUGAGACUAAACCUGUAAUCGAUUAUUUAUAAACCUAAAGUUAGUUUUAUGUUUUCCGCUGCAAAAUUCUGAAUAAGCCG